CCCUUAGAUGUUCUGGGCCGCACGCGCGCUACAAUGGUCUUCGCAAACGGAUGCAUUCUCGAAGGAGAAUGCCAAUCUUGGAAUCUAUGCCUUGGUCGGGACAGUUGCUUGCAAUUUUUCGACUCGAACCAGGAAUUCCUUGUAAUCGUGAUUCAUCACAUCACGAUGAAUACGUCCCUGCCCUUUGUACACACCGCCCGUCGCUCCUACCGAUCGAAGAGUUAGGUGAAUUGUUUUGAUCGAUAAGAUUUGACUAUGGUCAACUCUCGUUGUGAAAUUCUGUGAAUCUGACUGUUUAGAGGAAGGAAAAGUCGUAAC
This 318-nucleotide ribosomal RNA is filed under the name uncultured eukaryote. RNAcentral describes it as "partial 18S ribosomal RNA". It matches the Rfam family "Eukaryotic small subunit ribosomal RNA", at positions 1470 to 1795 of the family's 1831-position model. The record is from RNAcentral.